GCAAUUGCACUACUGGGUAUUUACCCCAAAGAUACAGAUCUAGUGAUCUGAAGGGCUACAUUCACCCCAAUGUUUAUAGCAGCAAUGUCCACAAUAACCAAACUAUG
Mustela erminea (ermine) is the source of this 107-nucleotide long non-coding RNA. RefSeq lists it as uncharacterized. NCBI's taxonomy places the organism in Eukaryota, Metazoa, Chordata, Mammalia, Carnivora, Mustelidae. The transcript is spliced from 2 exons. The record is from RefSeq and is a predicted model, not a curated record.